RNAcentral lists this unclassified non-coding RNA (197 nucleotides) under rhizosphere metagenome. RNAcentral describes it as "partial ribosomal RNA internal transcribed spacer region". The record is from RNAcentral.
UUUCAAUGCAGCAGAAUGGGGAUGGUUGAGUUUCUCGCCUCUCUGUUCUGCCUGUAUUCUACCCUUGUUUGUCAUAUACUAUUAUUUCCUCGGCAGGCUUGCUUGCCGAGUGAAACCAAUUAUAACCUAUUUAAUUUUCAAUCAGCGUCUGAACAAAAUUAAUAAUUACAACUUUCAACAACGGAUCUCUUGGUUCU